Molecule: ribosomal RNA, 429 nt
Filed under: Bacillota bacterium
Lineage: Bacteria; Bacillati; Bacillota
Description: Firmicutes bacterium partial 16S ribosomal RNA
Rfam family: Bacterial small subunit ribosomal RNA
Source: RNAcentral
UAGGGAAUCUUCGGCAAUGGGCGAAAGCCUGACCGAGCAACGCCGCGUGAAUGAAGAAGGCCCUCGGGUUGUAAAAUUCUGUUAUACGGGAAGAAAGGUGAUAGGAGGAAAUGACUAUCAAUUGAUGGUACCUUACGAGAAAGCCACGGCUAACUACGUGCCAGCAGCCGCGGUAAUACGUCGGUGGCAAGCGCUAUCCGGAAUUAUUGGGUGUAAAGAGCGCGCAGGUGGGUAAUUAAGUCUGAAGUGAAAGCCCACGGCUUAACCUUGGGAGGUCAUUUGAAACUGGUUGACUUUGGUGCAGAAGAGGGAAGUGGAAUUCCAGGUUUAGCAGUGAAAAGCGUAGGGUUAUGGGGGGACACCAGUGGCGGAGGCGGCUUCCUGGUCUGCAACUGACACUGGGGCGCGAAAGCGUUGGGAACAAACAAG